Molecule: long non-coding RNA, 283 nt
Filed under: Homo sapiens (human)
Lineage: Eukaryota; Metazoa; Chordata; Mammalia; Primates; Hominidae
Description: non-protein coding lnc-EIF2AK3-29:1
Source: RNAcentral
GAAAGGGAGAAGUGCACGGUGUGAUAGGGCAGGAAGAGAAGAAAAUGGAGGAGAGGAGGGGACUUUCCCAUAAGCAGGCAGAAGAAAAGGCAGCUGUGGUGUGUGAUGGACAUGGAUGCAGUGGUGUCCAAUGUGGGGUCAGCCCACUUAGUGAGCAUUGUGUCCGCUCAGGGGCCUCUGUGGGCAUCCGUCUCCUCUGCAGCAUCUUUCCUCCCCACUGCUGGGUCUGCACAUGACCCCCUCCUUGGGUUAGGCCUCUGAUCAGUGAUGACCUUGGUAUGGU